GAAAGGCCUCUGACAAGUAGAGGAAGGUAGAAAGGCAGCAGGGCUUCGGCCUGGACCCAGAGGUGAUAGUUCACGUUUGAAGUCAUGCCUAAGAGAAAAAACUCCAGGCCAAGUAAGCACCAUUACCUCCGUGCUGCCCACCUGUUCCCCUGCCAAAUGGGUAUGUAACCAAGUUAAUGAUGCCAUUUUCCAAAGCUCAGGACGA
This is a non-coding RNA of Callorhinus ursinus (northern fur seal), 205 nucleotides long. NCBI's taxonomy places the organism in Eukaryota, Metazoa, Chordata, Mammalia, Carnivora, Otariidae. The record is from RefSeq and is a predicted model, not a curated record.